AGUUACGUGGCCGAGCGGCAAGGCGGAGGUCCGCAUGACCUUUUACGAGGGUUCGAAUCCUUCCGUAACUGCCA
Molecule: transfer RNA, 74 nt
Filed under: Flavitalea plasmicola
Lineage: Bacteria; Pseudomonadati; Bacteroidota; Chitinophagia; Chitinophagales; Chitinophagaceae
Description: Flavitalea sp. BT771 tRNA-Cys
Rfam family: tRNA
About the family: Transfer RNA (tRNA) molecules are approximately 80 nucleotides in length. Their secondary structure includes four short double-helical elements and three loops (D, anti-codon, and T loops).
Source: RNAcentral